This 26-nucleotide non-coding RNA is filed under the name Rattus norvegicus (Norway rat). The record is from RNAcentral. Lineage: Eukaryota; Metazoa; Chordata; Mammalia; Rodentia; Muridae.
UGAUUCUUCUCUUUUGUUUUGGUUCC